Molecule: ribosomal RNA, 420 nt
Filed under: uncultured bacterium
Lineage: Bacteria
Also listed under: 1 other name
Description: bacterial SSU rRNA
Rfam family: Bacterial small subunit ribosomal RNA
Source: RNAcentral
UGGGGAAUAUUGCACAAUGGGCGCAAGCCUGAUGCAGCGACGCCGCGUGCGGGAUGGAGGCCUUCGGGUUGUAAACCGCUUUUGUUCAAGGGCAAGGCACGGUCUUUGGCCGUGUUGAGUGGAUUGUUCGAAUAAGCACCGGCUAACUACGUGCCAGCAGCCGCGGUAAUACGUAGGGUGCAAGCGUUAUCCGGAUUUAUUGGGCGUAAAGGGCUCGUAGGCGGUUCGUCGCGUCCGGUGUGAAAGUCCAUCGCUUAACGGUGGAUCCGCGCCGGGUACGGGCGGGCUUGAGUGCGGUAGGGGAGACUGGAAUUCCCGGUGUAACGGUGGAAUGUGUAGAUAUCGGGAAGAACACCAAUGGCGAAGGCAGGUCUCUGGGCCGUUACUGACGCUGAGGAGCGAAAGCGUGGGGAGCGAACA